ACUUAAAUCAAGUUUCACAUUUUCCUUUGCUAUCAUGUCAGAAUCAACGAUGUAAAAAUGGGGUCUCAAAUGAAAUUGGCAAUUUGCACACCUACGCUCGUUGUAAUGACUAAAAGUUAGUAAAUACAUCUAAAUUCUACGUAGAUAUCUGUGUUGUGCAAAAAUACAGAAUUUUAUUUUGUGCAUCUCGUUUUAACCGGGCUUAAAGAAGUUUGUGUACUCGUAUGUAUAUAUCUACAUCAUCUUUGAUACAUUUACUUUACAUCAUCCCACCUGCAUGAUUUGCUAUUUUUCGUCAUUUUCUUCUCUAUUGGUACUUGGUCACAGGAAACUAGCCAAACAAAUUGAUCGGCAGGUAAAAAAAUCCAAAUCCAAACAUCAAAUUGACCAAAUAAGAAGGGUUGGGUUUGUUUUUGGCAAUUGGUUUGCCGUUUCACUAAACUACACGCAGAGUGAGAACGAAUGCCAAAAUAAAUUCGUGGUAAACCAUCGGUCAAUACAUUGAAUAGAAAACGAAAAACUUUCAAAUCACCACUUGUCACAUCACUUGAACAAUUUUUGCACAACGCUGUAAACAAAAGAAGAAUAUACACAAAGACCAAAAGUGUGACGACAAACUUACCAACAG
This is a long non-coding RNA of Folsomia candida, 628 nucleotides long. RefSeq lists it as uncharacterized. The record is from RefSeq and is a predicted model, not a curated record. Lineage: Eukaryota; Metazoa; Arthropoda; Collembola; Entomobryomorpha; Isotomidae. The transcript has 3 exons.